This 504-nucleotide ribosomal RNA is filed under the name uncultured bacterium. RNAcentral's name for it is "partial 16S ribosomal RNA". It matches the Rfam family "Bacterial small subunit ribosomal RNA", at positions 28 to 523 of the family's 1533-position model. The record is from RNAcentral.
GAUGAACGCUAGCGGCAGGCUUAAUACAUGCAAGUCGAGGGGCAGCAUGAGUGUAGCAAUACAUUUGAUGGCGACCGGCAAACGGGUGCGGAACACGUACAGAACCUUCCUUCGAGCGGGGAAUAGCCCAGAGAAAUUUGGAUUAAUACCCCAUUGUAUUACGGAGUGGCAUCACUUUGUAAUUAAAGAUUUAUCACUUAAAGAUGGCUGUGGGGUUGAUUAGGUAGUUGGCGGGGUAAUGGCCCACCAAGACUGCGGUCAGUAACUGGUGUGAGAGAACGACCAGUCACACGGGCAGUGAGAAACGGGUCCGACUCCUACGGGAGGCAGCAGUAAGGAAUAUUGGUCAAUGGACGAGAGGCUGAACCAGCCAUGCCGCGUGGAGGACGAAGGUCCUCUGGAGUGUAAACUUCUUUUAUAUGGGACGAAAAAAGGCUUUUCUAAGUCGUCUGACGGUACCAUAUGAAUAAGCACCGGCUAACUCCGUGCCAGCAGCCGCCGUAA